RNAcentral lists this ribosomal RNA (442 nucleotides) under uncultured bacterium. Its description in RNAcentral is "partial 16S ribosomal RNA". It matches the Rfam family "Bacterial small subunit ribosomal RNA", at positions 338 to 795 of the family's 1533-position model. The record is from RNAcentral.
CCUACGGGAGGCAGCAGUAGGGAAUCUUUCACAAUGGGCGAAAGCCUGAUGGAGCAACGCCGCGUGCAGGAUGAAGGCCUUCGGGUUGUACACUGCUUUUAUAAGCGAGAAAUAUGAUGGUAACUUAUGAAUAAGGAUCGGCUAACUACGUGCCAGCAGCCGCGGUCAUACGUAGGAUCCGAGCAUUAUCCGGAGUGACUGGGUGUAAAGAGUUGCGUAGGCGGCAUAAUAAGUAGCUAGUUAAAUCUGGUGGCUCAACCAUUCAGACUAUUAGCUAAACUGUUAAGCUCGAGACCGUUAGGGGUAACUGGAAGUUCUAGUGUAGGAGUGAAAUCCGUAGAUAUUAGAAGGAACACCAAUAGCGUAGGCAGGUUGCUGGGACGGUUCUGACACUAAGGCACGAAAGCGUAGGGAGCAAACGGGAUUAGAUACCCUAGUAGUC